CCUACGGGAGGCUGCAGUGGGGAAUAUUGGACAAUGGGGGGAACCCUGAUCCAGCCAUGCCGCGUGUGUGAAGAAGGCCCUCGGGUUGUAAAGCACUUUCAGUGAGGAAGAACGCCUGGUGGUUAAUACCCAUCAGGAAGGACAUCACUCACAGAAGAAGCACCGGCUAACUCCGUGCCAGCAGCCGCGGUAAUACGGAGGGUGCGAGCGUUAAUCGGAAUUACUGGGCGUAAAGCGCGCGUAGGUGGCUUGAUAAGCCGGUUGUGAAAGCCCCGGGCUCAACCUGGGAACGGCAUCCGGAACUGUCAAGCUAGAGUGCAGGAGAGGAAGGUAGAAUUCCCGGUGUAGCGGUGAAAUGCGUAGAGAUCGGGAGGAAUACCAGUGGCGAAGGCGGCCUUCUGGACUGACACUGACACUGAGGUGCGAAAGCGUGGGUAGCAAACAGGAUUAGAUACCCUUGUAGUC
This 465-nucleotide ribosomal RNA is filed under the name Vreelandella stevensii. RNAcentral's name for it is "partial 16S ribosomal RNA". It matches the Rfam family "Bacterial small subunit ribosomal RNA", at positions 338 to 795 of the family's 1533-position model. The record is from RNAcentral. Lineage: Bacteria; Pseudomonadati; Pseudomonadota; Gammaproteobacteria; Oceanospirillales; Halomonadaceae.